GCAUUCUGUCCCAGAAGCAUAGGGCUGCACACUCUCCCUCCUGCCAUAUAUGGAGGACGCGGGGAUCGUGCGCAGCUGGGGUUUAAUGAGAGGCAAUCAGCCUUUCCAGUUAAAAGGGGGCAAAUGGGUAAGGAAAGCACAUUCGAGGCAGAGGAUUCCUGUAAGGUAUGGCUAUCAUUGAGCAUGAGAUUGCUGCAGAAUGAUUUGGUUAAUCCCUCCUUUUGAUUAUUUUAGGCAACCCUUUUUGUAGGCAAACACCAAAGAACCGUGGACUGUUUUUUUCAGACUAGAGUUUCCACUGGAUAAGAAAGAGGACCCCGUGACUCUGGAGAGCCUGUCGUGUUCUUGUGCUGCAGAAGAGCCUGCUGCCGAGCUCUGGUGGGUUCUCCCCUGAAC
Fundulus heteroclitus (mummichog) is the source of this 396-nucleotide long non-coding RNA. RefSeq lists it as uncharacterized. The record is from RefSeq and is a predicted model, not a curated record. The transcript is spliced from 3 exons. NCBI's taxonomy places the organism in Eukaryota, Metazoa, Chordata, Actinopteri, Cyprinodontiformes, Fundulidae.